Molecule: ribosomal RNA, 300 nt
Filed under: Triticum aestivum (bread wheat)
Lineage: Eukaryota; Viridiplantae; Streptophyta; Magnoliopsida; Poales; Poaceae
Description: partial small subunit ribosomal RNA
Source: RNAcentral
AUGAAACGGGCAGGGAGACGAAUGGGCCGGGCCAGAAGCAAACUUAGUCGAGGCAAAGAAAGGCAGUGUAUAAUUUACAACUAUUGCUCAAAAUUGUCUCAAACAACAAAAUACUAUUGCUCAAAAAGUUCCCUAGAAAAACUAUUGCUCAGAAAAAAACAAUUUACAAUUUCUCUUUUUUUGGUACUAGCACGCUAUACAAAAAACAAUUUUGAGGAGAGUACAAUUUAUAACUUGAUAGGAAAGCAUCAAACUAACCCAGAAACAUAUGGUAUCACCACAACACAAGACACUUGUUAG